UACAGAGGGUGCAAGCGUUAAUCGGAAUUACUGGGCGUAAAGCGAGCGUAGUCGGUUAUUUAAGUCGGGUGUGAAAGCCCCGGGCUCAACCUGGGAAUUGCAUUCGAUACUGGAUAGCUAGAGUUCGGCAGAGGGAAGCGGAAUUUCCGGUGUAGCGGUGAAAUGGCGUAGAUAGUCGGAAGGAACGCCGGUGGCGAAAGCGAUCGACUGGACCUUUUCUGACGCUGAGGCGCGAAAGCUAGGGGAGCGAACAGGA
RNAcentral lists this ribosomal RNA (256 nucleotides) under uncultured bacterium. Its description in RNAcentral is "partial 16S ribosomal RNA". It matches the Rfam family "Bacterial small subunit ribosomal RNA", at positions 524 to 777 of the family's 1533-position model. The record is from RNAcentral.